GAUGAAAGAGGGAGGCGUGCCUAAUACAUGCAAGUCGAGCGAACAGACGAGGAGCUUGCUCCUCUGACGUUAGCGGCGGACGGGUGAGUAACACGUGGAUAACCUACCUAUAAGACUGGGAUAACUUCGGGAAACCGGAGCUAAUACCGGAUAAUAUAUUGAACCGCAUGGUUCAAUAGUGAAAGACGGUUUUGCUGUCACUUAUAGAUGGAUCCGCGCCGCAUUAGCUAGUUGGUAAGGUAACGGCUUACCAAGGCAACGAUGCGUAGCCGACCUGAGAGGGUGAUCGGCCACACUGGAACUGAGACACGGUCCAGACUCCUACGGGAGGCAGCAGUAGGGAAUCUUCCGCAAUGGGCGAAAGCCUGACGGAGCAACGCCGCGUGAGUGAUGAAGGUCUUCGGAUCGUAAAACUCUGUUAUUAGGGAAGAACAAAUGUGUAAGUAACUAUGCACGUCUUGACGGUACCUAAUCAGAAAGCCACGGCUAACUACGUG
Molecule: ribosomal RNA, 497 nt
Filed under: uncultured bacterium
Lineage: Bacteria
Description: partial 16S ribosomal RNA
Rfam family: Bacterial small subunit ribosomal RNA
Source: RNAcentral